RNAcentral lists this ribosomal RNA (227 nucleotides) under uncultured Venturia. RNAcentral describes it as "partial small subunit ribosomal RNA". It matches the Rfam family "Bacterial small subunit ribosomal RNA", at positions 524 to 776 of the family's 1533-position model. Lineage: Eukaryota; Fungi; Ascomycota; Dothideomycetes; Venturiales; Venturiaceae. The record is from RNAcentral.
UACAAGGGAGACUAGUGUUAUUCAUCUUUAUUAGGUUUAAAGGGUACCUAGACGGUGUAUCUAGCCUGCGAGGGAACGGAUACGACUAGAGUUUUAUGUGGGAGGUAAAUAUGGUACUAUGUGUGUAGAGAUGAAAUUCUUUGAUAAUACGUAGGACAGGUAAUGGUGAAAGCAAUCCUCUAUGUAAAAACUGACGUUGAGGGACGAAGGCUUGGAUAGCGAACAGG